CAGCCCUGUAGGAGACACCUCCAGAGAAAGUAACAGCUCUCAAUUGAUUAGCUGAGAAUAAACAGAUGCUUUUACAGCUCGCAUUGGCGGGAAGUUCUGGCACAAAUGAAGUAUCUAUAAGGAGCAGCAGAGUCAAGGAAGACACCAGACAAAUGAGUUACACUGUUUUGGACUCCCCAACACAAUCCAGCCACCGGCUGAAUGCCACCAAAUUACCUUCUAGUUAAAGGUUUAUGGAGCAAACGAAUCACCUAUUCAAUAUCUGCUUGAAUUUCUGACUCAAAAUACAUCAGGUAUGUACUGUGUGACUUAAAUAUUGAGUUUAUUUUUAUCAAAUACCUGUCAAGAAAGAAAGUCAAUUCUGAAACAGCAGAAGCUCAAAGUUCUACAGAUGGCUUUCAAAGGAAUUUGAAUUAGACAUCAUUUGAUGUUGCAAAAAACAAUGACAUCUUUUAUAGCUCUAAACAUCAGUUUUUAAAUUAGAGAUUGAUCUAUAAA
This 498-nucleotide long non-coding RNA is filed under the name Pan troglodytes (chimpanzee). RNAcentral's name for it is "lincRNA". Lineage: Eukaryota; Metazoa; Chordata; Mammalia; Primates; Hominidae. The record is from RNAcentral.